GGAUUUACUGGGCGUAAGCGUGCGUAGGCGGCUGAUUAAGUCGGAUGUGAAAUCCCUGAGCUUAACUUAGGAAUUGCAUUCGAUACUGGUCAGCUAGAGUAUGGGAGAGGAUGGUAGAAUUCCAGGUGUAGCGGUGAAAUGCGUAGAGAUCUGGAGGAAUACCGAUGGCGAAGGCAGCCAUCUGGCCUAAUACUGACGCUGAGGUACGAAAGCAUGGGGAGCAAACAGGAUUAGAUACCCUGGUAGUCCAUGCCGUAAACGAUGUCUACUAGCCGUUGGGGCCUUUGAGGCUUUAGUGGCGCAGCUAACGCGAUAAGUAGACCGCCUGGGGAGUACGGUCGCAAGACUAAAACUCAAAUGAAUUGACGGGGGCCCGCACAAGCGGUGGAGCAUGUGGUUUAAUUCGAUGCAACGCGAAGAACCUUACCUGGCCUUGACAUACUAGAAACUUUCCAGAGAUGGAUUGGUGCCUUCGGGAAUCUAGAUACAGGUGCUGCAUGGCUGUCGUCAGCUCGUGUCGUGAGAUGUUGGGUUAAGUCCCGCAACGAGCGCAACCCUUUUCCUUAUUUGCCAGCGAGUAAUGUCGGGAACUUUAAGGAUACUGCCAGUGACAAACUGGAGGAAGGCGGGGACGACGU
RNAcentral lists this ribosomal RNA (638 nucleotides) under Acinetobacter sp. CK37. RNAcentral describes it as "bacterial SSU rRNA". It matches the Rfam family "Bacterial small subunit ribosomal RNA", at positions 547 to 1185 of the family's 1533-position model. Lineage: Bacteria; Pseudomonadati; Pseudomonadota; Gammaproteobacteria; Moraxellales; Moraxellaceae. The record is from RNAcentral.